GCCCUUCCUGUUUGUAGAACAUAAAGACGGAAUUACUACAUUACCCCUUCCAAUCCUGGUGCCCAUCCUCAUCCAGCAGGACUAUCCCAGCCAAGCAGGAAGAAAACCCAGCAGCCCAAACUGGAUGCCAGACACUUACAGACAGUAUCCAGGCAAGCCAUGCAACAACGGACAGGUUUAUGUCAAACCCUAGCAGCAGAAUGUAGUCUAAGGCUAACAAGGGUCUUAAUUUGCAGACCACGUUGGCCUUGAACUUACGACGCUAUUGCCUCCACCUCUGUGCGUGCUGUAAUCCCCACAUGUGAGCUCCAUACCCAAUAGCUAUGCAGAAGGAAUUACCUUGAAUCAAUUUUCAUGGAAAUAUUUUUGAUGUAUAAAUGCUAAUGUAUAAUGUAGAAAUGAUGUAUAACUACUUAUAAAUGAUAUUGGAAGCGCCUUUGGAUUUUAUUUCAAUGUGAAUCAUUUUCAACCUAAAUUCUAAAACUGAUACCCAUUAUUAAAAGACGGCUCUAAAACA
This is a long non-coding RNA of Mus musculus (house mouse), 517 nucleotides long. RefSeq annotates it as predicted gene, 46557. Lineage: Eukaryota; Metazoa; Chordata; Mammalia; Rodentia; Muridae. The record is from RefSeq and is a predicted model, not a curated record. The transcript is spliced from 2 exons.